Molecule: transfer RNA, 90 nt
Organism: Coniochaeta ligniaria NRRL 30616
Lineage: Eukaryota; Fungi; Ascomycota; Sordariomycetes; Coniochaetales; Coniochaetaceae
Rfam family: tRNA
About the family: Transfer RNA (tRNA) molecules are approximately 80 nucleotides in length. Their secondary structure includes four short double-helical elements and three loops (D, anti-codon, and T loops).
Source: Rfam
GCGGGUUUAGCUCAGUUGGGAGAGCGUCAGACUGAAGUCAAACUUCACCAGUUAAUCUGAAGGUCGUGUGUUCGAUCCACACAAACCGCA